AACAAAACAAGGCAAAACAAUGCGCACCAACACACCGAGGCAGCCAUCCGCGGCGCCAUCUUGAUCGACUAUAUGGAAAAUACCUUGCUCAUAAUUCAUGAUUAAUGGUUAAAGAGUGAUAGAAUAUUUGAUAAAAUGAAACUGUACAGUUGAACAUUUAUAAAGUGUACUAUUUGGUUUAUUAGUAACACUUUUACACUUUUGAGGUUACAAUGAUGCCUUAAAGAAAAAAACUAAGAUUGAGAAAAGUAUUCAGUUGUUAUAAUAGCCUGUUGUCAUACAGGCUGGGUUUUUUGGAUACCUGAGAAGAAACCUGUGAACCUAGGAUUCUCUCCCUGACGAGGGAGAUGGCGAGCCGACCAGCUUGAUCAACUUGAUUCAUCUUCAUCCAUUGAGGAAGAACCCCUGAUACCCCUUGUUUCUCCCAACCCCACUCUGAAUGUCUGAUAUAAGUGAGAGCAUCAAGGACGCAGUCAUUUCUGUCCUGCCAAGUGUGCCAGAAGAAACGAUCUUACACCAGGGAGUGGAAAGCAAAGAUGACUUGCAGUACAUAAGAGAACAGGAAAUUGCAGAGGUUAUUCGACCAAUUCAGUGCAGAAAACUUUUAAAUGCAUGGAAAUGAGCAGGUUUCUGCCUCUGCUGCUGACGUUGAGAGGUCCUUAACUUUGCCUGACAGUCCUCGAUUGAUUGUUCUCGAACUCGCCUCCGCAGGCGAGGACCCCGUGGCGACGGAACCUCUCCAAACUUCGCUAUCCCUCACUGACCCCCUGUGACGACUUCACGGUCGCAGGAGGGCUAUGGAACUGCCAGUCUGCUACGCGGAAGGCUGACUUCAUUUCAGCCUACGCGUCCCUCUUCUCCCUACAUUUCCUUGCCCUCACUGAGACCUGGAUCACACCAGGCAACACUGCAACCCCUGCAGCCCUCUCCUCCUCCUUCUCCUUCUCUCACGCCUCCGCCCGUCUGGCCGUGGUGGGGGCACAGGUUUGCUGAUCUCUCCCUCUUGGAAAUUCUCUGUUCUCCCCCUUUCUCACCUCUCCAUCUCUACCUUUGAAUACCACUCUGUCUCAAUCACCUAUCCUGUUAACUUGUACAUUGUUGUUAUCUAUCGCCCUCCAGGGCCCCUGGGAAGCUUCCUCGAUGAGCUCAACACCCUGCUCAGCUCCUUCCCAGAGAAUGGUGUAGAGGGGAGUCAAACUGGGACCCAGAAAAGGCUGGCAUUUGAACGGGCCUGCAGGCUGGGACUCAUCCUGUACUUCAAAGAACCCAGAGCCGUGUGAUAAAACAAUAAGUUACUUGGACUUCCUCGGGAUAAGCAGGCCAUUUGGCUCUCUGGAAUGUUGCCAUCUGGACACAUCUAAGAUAAGGGGAACUAGUCUCUUUGUCUAUGGUUGUGGGGUAUGUGUGUUCGGGCCAUUAAGGGAAAAAAGAUCAUCAGGCCUCUGGACAAAUGGUGGGGCAACUACGCUUGACAGUUCCACAGUGCCGUUAUGUGGGCCCCUCUAUCAUUACACUUUUUAUUUAUUUUCUGGAUCUGGACUCUAAACCAUCUGUUUAUCAUAUUUACAAACCCCGGAAAACCUUACAAACCAUGCACGUGUUUUCAUUAUAUUACUGUAUUAUGCCUUAUGUAAUAAUAACAUGGAUUGCAUGUAAAAUGCUUCAACAAAAGGGUAUUUUCAUGACAACUGCACCAUAAUAUUACAUCCCCUGGACAUGUUUGGCAUAUUCAGGAAAAUUCCAGAAAUUGAAUGAAAAAUGUUUCAUACCCAAUAAAAUUUAAUAAAACAUAUUUUAAAUUGUA
Anguilla rostrata (American eel) is the source of this 1804-nucleotide long non-coding RNA. RefSeq lists it as uncharacterized. The record is from RefSeq and is a predicted model, not a curated record. NCBI's taxonomy places the organism in Eukaryota, Metazoa, Chordata, Actinopteri, Anguilliformes, Anguillidae. The transcript has 4 exons.